RNAcentral lists this ribosomal RNA (477 nucleotides) under uncultured bacterium. RNAcentral describes it as "partial 16S ribosomal RNA". It matches the Rfam family "Bacterial small subunit ribosomal RNA", at positions 28 to 507 of the family's 1533-position model. The record is from RNAcentral.
GAUGAACGCUGGCGGCGUGCCUAAUACAUGCAAGUCGAGCGAACGGACGAGAAGCUUGCUUUUCUGAUGUUAGCGGCGGACGGGAGAGUAACACGUGGAUAACCUACCUAUAAGACUGGGAUAACUUCGGGAAACCGGAGCUAAUACCGGAUAAUAUUUUGAACCGCAUGGUUCAAAAGUGAAAGACGGUCUUGCUGUCGCUGGGAGAUGGACCCGCGGUUCAUUAGCUAGUUGGUGAGGUAACGGCAUACCAAGGCGACGAUGGAUAGCCGGCCUGAGAGGGGGACCGGCCACACUGGGACUGAGACACGGCCCAGACUCCUACGGGAGGCAGCAGUGGGGAAUAUUGCGCAAUGGGCGAAAGCCUGACGCAGCGACGCCGCGUGGGGGAUGACGGCCUUCGGGUUGUAAACCUCUUUCAGCAGGGACGAAGCGAAAGUGACGGUACCUGCAUAAGAAGCACCGGCCAACUACGUG